RNAcentral lists this ribosomal RNA (497 nucleotides) under uncultured bacterium. RNAcentral describes it as "partial 16S ribosomal RNA". It matches the Rfam family "Bacterial small subunit ribosomal RNA", at positions 28 to 507 of the family's 1533-position model. The record is from RNAcentral.
GAUGAACGCUGGCGGCGUGCCUAAUACAUGCAAGUCGAGCGAACGGACGAGAAGCUUGCUUCUCUGAUGUUAGCGGCGGACGGGUGAGUAACACGUGGAUAACCUACCUAUAAGACUGGGAUAACUUCGGGAAACCGGAGCUAAUACCGGAUAAUAUUUUGAACCGCAUGGUUCAAAAGUGAAAGACGGUCUUGCUGUCACUUAUAGAUGGAUCCGCGCUGCAUUAGCUAGUUGGUAAGGUAACGGCUUACCAAGGCAACGAUGCAUAGCCGACCUGAGAGGGUGAUCGGCCACACUGGAACUGAGACACGGUCCAGACUCCUACGGGAGGCAGCAGUAGGGAAUCUUCCGCAAUGGGCGAAAGCCUGACGGAGCAACGCCGCGUGAGUGAUGAAGGUCUUCGGAUCGUAAAACUCUGUUAUUAGGGAAGUACAUAUGUGUAAGUAACUGUGCACAUCUUGACGGUACCUAAUCAGAAAGCCACAGCUAACUACGUG